GCGUUUGUUUCAUGUCAACAUCAGGAGCAACAGGACAUUGGUUUUGAGGAGGUAGAAAUCCAGGUGGUGGUUGCUGCUGGUAGUUCCCCUGAAAUUGCUGUUUGAGAACAAAAACUUGAUUGUAAGGAACAAAAGGUUUGUUUUGACCUUGUUGUUGCUGUGGAGGAUAGACUUGGUCUUGUGGAUUAGCAACGUUGGUGUUGCGGUAGGAGAGGUUGGGGUUGUUGGUUUUGAAGUUGUUGUACCCUUUUUAGCCACUCUGGUUGUUGUUGAUGUAGCUGACUUCUUCCAACUGGUUACCCUCCCCAUCAUGGAAUUGAUACUGCUCGUCAUCAACAAGGAAAUGCACAUGCUUCUGCUGGCUAAGAAGAAUCCUGUCCAGCUUGUCAUUCAGCGCUUUGAUCUCCUUCCUGUGUUUGUCAUCAGAGUCAGGUGUGCUUCUGACGGUCCUAUCACAGUCCUCGUUGUAAUUACCAUCUGAUUGAGCUAAGUUCUCAACCAAUUCCCAGCCUUCUUCAACAUCUUUGUUCUGGAAAUUCCCAUCUUUGACCAGAAGCAUUCUAAUGCGUGAUAGAACUCCUCUGUAAAGAGUGCUGAGAAGAGAGGCUUUAGUGAAGCCAUGAUGAGGGCAUUGGUUGGUAUAACCCUUGAAACGCUUCCAUGCUUCACAGAAGCUUUCACGAGUCUUCUGUGAAAAACCAGAAAUCUCAUUUCUGAGUCUUGAAGUUCUGGAGUUGAAGAAAAACUUU
RNAcentral lists this small RNA (749 nucleotides) under Arabidopsis thaliana (thale cress). RNAcentral's name for it is "ATSL090890". The stretch from base 615 to 721 matches the Rfam family "Plant small nucleolar RNA R71". The record is from RNAcentral. Lineage: Eukaryota; Viridiplantae; Streptophyta; Magnoliopsida; Brassicales; Brassicaceae.